UGGGAAUUAAUCCACCUUGGCCCCAUGUAUGCUCCCAGCCUAACCACGCAGGGGUCCAAAAGGGCCUCGGGUGGGACACAGAUCUGCUGGGACUGGGAGAGAGGCUGGUUCCUGGGGCCAGUGGCCAGCACCCCACAGAGCAGGGUGCAGUGUUUCAGAACAAGGCCCAGCCCUCCAGGGAUCCUCCCAGAAUCUGAGCUCAGUGAUGCUCAAGGUACCAGCGAUUCAACAAAUGCCAUGAUCCUCCGCUGGCCGCCUCGCGCCUAAGGGCUGGAAUCACCAUAAGAAACCCCCUGUGGGCAAGGGCUCUGCCCAGGCUUCCCUCAUGUGCCUCCCCUGCCCCCUGCAGGGGAGGCCACUCUAAAGGGGUCCUGGCCCCAAUUCUAUCGUGUGUGGAGGCUUCCCCACCCCAACAAACAAGUCUCAGAUGCCAGUAAGGUGUCCAAGACUUCAACUCGGUUCUGACACUGUCUCCCUGGAGAUAGAAUCAGAUGCCACAGGUGAGGGCUCAGUCCCACACGAUGCCCCCUCUUCAGAGGCCAGUGAGAAGCCCAGGUUGUCGCCUGUACUUCUGACUGACUGGCUAUAAAUCAGAGUUCCCACUACCUCCUCCCGAGUUUGAUGAAUCUGCAAGAACAGCUCACAGACUCAGGAAAACCCAUUUGCUCACUAGCUUACUGAUUUAUUUUAGAAGGGUGCGAAAGGGUAGGAUCCAUAGCCCGAGGGAGAGGUGUGUAGGGGCGGGGCGGGGGAGGGUCGAGGAGCUUCCGGGCUCUCCCUGGGCUCCACUCUUCCCAAACCUCCACCAGUUCACCAGCCCGGGAGCUGUCCAGACCUGGUCCUUUAGGGUUUUUAUGGAGGCUUCAUUGCAGAAGUGCGCUUGAUUGAAUCGCGGGCUGUUGGCAUUUGAAGGUCGGGGAAUGUGUCGGAAAGUUCCAACCCUCUAAUCAUAUAGUUCUCCUGGCUAUCCACCCCCAUCCUUAGGUGCUUCCAAAAAUCACCUCAUUCAGGUAACGAAAGACACCUACGUCAUUUCCACCACUUAGAACAUUCCAAAGCCAGGGAUUGUGGAUGAAAACCAAAUAUAUAUGAGAAAUAGGUUUGGUCACCUGAAUGACAAAACAUGUAUUUCUUAUGAACCACACAGUAUUGCAGCACUAAUUUAUAGUAAAUGGCAGGAGUUCCCAUUGCGGCUCAGUGGGUAGUAAACUUGACUGGUAUCCAUGAGAAUGCAGGUUCGAUCCCUGGCCUCCCUCAGUGGGUUAAGGAUCCGGCGUUGCCAUGAGCUGUGGUAUAGGUUGCAGACAUGGCUCAAAUCCUGUGUUGCUGUGGCUGUGGUGUAGGCCAGCAGCUGUUGGUCCAGUUCGCCCCCUAGCCUGGGAACCCCCAUAUGCCUCGCGUGCAGCCCUAAGAAAAAAAGACAAAAAUAAAAUAAAAUAAAAUAAAUGGCACACGCCAAAAUCUCUCUUUCCUAGGCUCUCCUAGGCUGGGAACUGGUAGUCAAUAGUAAAACACAUGGCAAAAUGCAAAACAUGUACCACAGAUGAGCCCCAAUUUAUGAUGGUUUAACUUAGAAUUUUUUGAUGUUAGGAGGAUGUAAAAGUAACAUGCAUUCAGUAGAAACCAUACUUUGAAUUUUGAAUUUUUCUAGGUUGGCGAUAUUCUUUUCAGUCCAAUCCUCUCUCGUGAUGCUGGGUGGUGGCAGCCACAGCUCCUGGUCAGUCACGUGAUCACAAGGGUCAACAACCGAUACGCUUACAGCCACUGUGCGCCCCAACCAUUCAGUUUUUCACGGGCAGUACAGUAUUCAGUAAAUUACAUGAGAUACUUAACACUUUUUUAAAAAGGAGUUCCUGCUGUAGCUCAACGGGUUAAGAACCUGACAUAGUGUCCAUGAGGACGCAGGUUUGAUCCCUGGCCUCACUCAGUGGGUUAAGGAUUCAGUGUUGCCGAAAGCCUCGGAGUAGGUCAUAGAUGCACCUCGGAUCUGGUAUGGCUGUGGCAUAGGCCUGCAGCUGCAUCUCCAAUUCAACCGCUAGCCUGGGAACUUCCAUGUGCCACAGGCGUGGCCCUAAAAAGAAAAGAAAAUCGACUUUGUGUUAGGUGAUCUGCCCAGCUGUAGGCUAGUGUAAGUGUUCCAAGCGUGUUUAAGGUAGGUGUGGCUAAGCCGUGAUGUUUGGUAGCUUAGGUGUAUCAGUGCAUUUCAACUUAGGCUAUCUUCAAUGGGUUUAUCAUAAGCCAGGGAAGAUUGGUGUGUGUGUGUGUGUGUCUGUACACAUAUACAUAUACACAGAGGCCCAUAUAUUAAAUAUUUUAGGUUAAAACAUGUCAAUGUGAUUAAUCACUAAUCUUCUGGUGUUAAUGUUACCAAGGCCUUUUUUAAAAAUUGCUGAUAAUAUAAUAUAUUAUAAUAUGAUAUAAUGUAAUAAUCAAUAUGAUUAGAAAUUUCUCUUUCAUUGUCCGUACCCAUAUUGCAUCAUUUACGAAUUCCAGUUUAGGUUUUUUAAAGUUAGCCCCAGAACUCAGCAAAGCAAUCAGAUUGUGUGUUGUCUUGAAUUUUAACAUUUUUCCAAACAUCCUAUAAAUGUUACACUCACAUCUAUUUUGACAGCAGGUUUGAAGUCAUCUUUUUUUUUUUUACUUUGUUAUUAUAGUUGAUUUACAAUGUUCUGUCAACUUCUGCUGUACAGCAAAGUGCCCCAGUUAUACAUAUAUAUACAUUCUUUUUCUCACAUUAUCUUUAUCAUGUUCCAUCACAAGUGAUUAGAUAUAGGUCCCUGUGCUAUACAGCAGGAUCUCAUUGUUUAUCCACUCCAAAUGCAAUAGUUUGCAUCUACUAACCCCAAACUCCCAGUCCAUCCCACUCCCUCCCCCUCCCCCUUGGUAACCACAAGUCUGUUCUCCAAGUCCAUGAGUUUGUUUCUUUUCUGUAGACAGGUUCAUUUGUGCCGUAUAUUAGAGUCUAGAUAAAAGUGAUAUCAUGUGGCAUUUGUCCUUCUCUUUCUGACUUACUUCACUUCAUAUGAGAGUCUCUAGUUCCAUCCAUGUUGCUGGAAGUGGCAUUAUUUUGUUCUUUUUAUGGCUGAGUAGUAUGCCAUUGUGUACAUGUACCACAUUUUCUAAUCCAUUCAUCUGUCAGUGGACAUUUAGGUUGUUUCCAUGUCUUGGCUCUUGUGAAUAGUGCUGCAGUGAACACUUGGUGAAUGUGUCUUUUUCAAUUAAAGUUUUGUCUGGAUAUAUGCACAGGAAUGGCAUUGCUGGAUCAUAUGGAACCAUACAAAUAUUUUCUUAGGUCAGUCUCCAAAAGCAGUAGAAAUAAAAACAAAAAGAAACCAAUGGAACCUAAUCAAAUUUAAACGCUUUUGCACAACAAAGGAAACCAUUAAAAAAAAACAAAACAAAACAAAACCAAAAAACCACCUAUGGAAUGGGAGGAAAUAGUUUCAAACAAUGCAACCAACAAGGGCUUCAUCUCCAAAAUAUACAAACACCUCAUACAACUCAACAGCAAAAAAAAAAACAAACAACCCAAUUGAAAAAUGGGCAGAAGACCUGAACAGGCAUUUCUCCAAAGAAGACUUACGGAGGCCCACAGGGACGUGGAGAAAUGGUCGCCCUCCCUAGUUGUUAGAGAAAUGCACCUCAAACCACAGACACCAGUCAGAACGGCCAUGGUUAAUAAGUCCACAAAUGACAAAUGCUGGAGCGGGCGUGGAGGACCGGGAACCCUCCUGCACUGUCAGUGGGAAUGUGAGCUGGUGCAGCCACUAUGGAGAACAGUGUGGAGGGGCCUCAGAAGACUACAGCAAAAGUCGUCUUUAUCAAACUCUCCAAAACGUUCAACUUAGUUCUUAUCGAAACACCUCUUCCUUUUUGUCCUUACAUGUUUCACUUUACGUCAUCAUUUAAUUUGGUAACAACUGAGGUGAGACGUUUUGAGCUCAAGCCCACGUUCCCCACGGAAGGUGCCUCUAGGGACCUGACCUCCACCUCCUUCCCGGUUCCUGAGUCGGCUGCUUUCACGAGCUCGGCGGCGGCAGGGCUGCUGCGGGAGCGUCUGAGGAGAGGACCUCCGUUGCCGCGGGUCCCUCUGUCACGUCCCCACACGCGUGAGCAGAACCCUCUGUGAAUGUAGAAGAUGAGCACAGGGAUGCAACCAGAGGGAUGAUGGGUGGGCUCAGUGCAGGAGGCCGUGGAGCAAGCUGGGAAAAUCAUCUCUAGGCCGUGGAUGGACAGGGCACUGCAGGAAGGCUGCCCCUUGAACUGGGUCAUCAACUUGACCACCUGACCUGUGUACACGCGGCACUGCGGGCGUCCCCGCUCCUCCCACUGCUCCAGCCUCCGCUUGGCCCUACGUUCUGGGGUCACCUGACCUUCUGGAAGGCUCGACCACAGGCUCACGCACAGCCCAAACACCACCCUCCCUUUAACUGUAACAUUUUCAGUUCUUGGAGGUGCCUAAGGAAGCUGAUGGGAAUACUAACAUUUACUCUCUUUGGGCUUCUGUCAUUCUGUCAGCAGAUGGUAGGAGGUGUGAACUUUGAAGGGAGACCAGGAUCCACGUGGUUUCCUUAAACCGGGCAGAGAGGAGAAGAACCUGACGUCAGUUUGCCGAGGCUGCCGUAAGGAAGCCGGCAGACUGGACGGCCUCAUUUCCUCCCAGCUCUGGAGGUUAGAAGUCUGAGGUCAAGGUGUUGGCAGGGUUGGUUUCCUCUGAAGCCCCUCUCCUUGGCUGGGACGUGGCCACCUUCUCGGCUUCACCUGGUCUUCCCUCUGUGGGCCCCCGUGUCCUCAUUCCCUCUUGGGUUUUUUUUUUUGUUUCGUUUUUUGUUUUUUUGCUUUUCCUUUGUUUUGACCGCACCUGCAGCAUGUGGACGUUCCCAGGCCAGGGAUCGAACCCAUGCCACAGCAGAGACCUGAGCCACUGCAGUGACAACACUGGAUCCUUACUUCUUCACCCUCUGAGCCGCACAGGAACUCCCUGCUCUCUUCUCAGAAAGACAGCAGUCCUAGUGGAUUAGGACCUGAUGACCUCAUCUGAAAGACCGUCUCCAGAUACAGCCCCAUUCGGGGGACCGGGCAUUAGGGCCUCAGCCCUUGAAUGGGGUUGGGGCGCGAUUCACCCAGUGACACAUCCCGUGGGGCUGACGUGAAAGGACGCGCCUGCUGGCAGAAGACACCUCCACGCCCUCCACGCGAGGAUGCUCGCUGGGGCGGAAAGGCGGCAGGGCACUUUCCAGCCCGGGUAGAACUGGACCCACGGACCCGCAGGGCAGGAGGCCGGCCGUGUGAACAAGGCUGGUUCCCCAGACACCACCCUCGGGCCCCCUCAGCUGUGAGACAGGGAUGGGCUGGCUUCCUGCCCGGCUCUGCCCACCGCACAGGGUGCCAGGGGAGCGUGGACCUGCUUCCUAAACUGUUACCACUGUAUGUGCGGGAUAUUCUUUACGUGUCAGGAUACUGACAACAAGCCGUGAUCUGGUUUUGAACACGAAUAGAAAAGACUUGGAAACAGUUCAUACUGUGUGACCGCACUGGCUGAGCUCGGUCUGGAAGUGACCGGAAGAGAGUCGGGGUGGAGGACAGAGGCGCCACCCCUGCCCGCCCCCUCUCCUCCCCCAGAGUGUGUCUCAGAGCAGCAGCUGCCCCCGGAUGGCACCGCCCCAUCUCCUGCUUGCGCCUCUGUCAUCGGCGGCGCCUCUUCUCUGGUCUCUCCCCUCAAGAUUCCAACCAUCACCAGUUCUCUCUGGGUGAAAAAGCCCCAUCCCCACCCCCAUCCCCUCUGCCUCCUUCUCCAAACACAUGGGGACCCCUGCUGUGGCCAGCUCCUCAGCCCCCCAACAUCUGGCUUCUGUCCCCAAACGCAAGGCCCCUCCUCAGACCGCUUGGCCCUCUCCCUCGUGCGCUCCUCGCCCUGGGCUUUUGCACCUUGGCCUCCGUAGCCAGUUCCUGAGAUGGUAAAAGACCCUGAGUGUGCUGUCCGAGUGCCAACCUCCCACCCCGGGCCCUGAGCAUCUGCACCUCCUCUAUCAGACUCACAUUCCAGGCCGCUGUCCACGGGCACCGGGCACCGCGGGGCCAAGAAGCAGGCCGGGGAAACAGCCCCCGCGGCGACCCUCACCAGCCAGUCCUCAGCCUGCCCUGCCUUUCCCGAGAGACCCACGGGAAAAGCUCCUACCCACGUUCGCCCCCUCCCUCUGCCCCGGGACCCCCCCUCCCCUGCUGCUCCCCUGCGUGGCCCCGCCGCCCCUCCUCUUGGGAACCGAAAGUGGCAAGCCAGCUUUUUGGGGGUUUUUUUGGGUUGUUUUUUUUUGGCCUUACCCGAAGCACGUGGAAGUUCCUGGGCCAGGAUCAAAACCCACACCACAGCUGCAACAAUGCCAGAUCCCUAACCUGCUGCACCGCGAGGGAACUCCCAAACCAGCUUUUAAGGGCAGAGGAACCAGGGCAUCCCUGUCGUGAGGGAUGUGUGUGGCCAGUCCUGAGCCUGGCUGCCCUCAACCCCCGCACCGCCAGAGGGACUUCAUCUCUGUGCCUGUCCCGCGUGCUGUCCCUUGGCGAAGUGAGAAGGAAAACCGUAGUGAAAGCUGGGCAGUGGUUGACUUGCGGCCUGUGGUGAUGCCGAGGAAGAGGACUUCUCAGUGGGCACGUGCUUUCUGGAGAAAGCCAAGCGCCUGCAGGAGCAUUUGAGCACCUACGAACGACAUUUAUGAAACUCUCUGCUCUUCCUCCUGAAAAUGUCAAGUGACUAAAAUUCUUAGAAGUCGUCAUGAGACCUUCCACCCAAGGGUAGAAUCUCCCGGACGCCUCGCUGCUUGCCCACGCCCCAGGAUUGGGACUCGGGGACCUCGCUAUAGAGCCCCAACCUACAGGGCCCCCUGGGCCUGUGCCUUCCUCUGGACGAAGCUCCCACACGCAGGGGAGGGGACCCUCCCAGGGGGUCGCUCUGACGGUUCCACCUGAACAUGGGAGUAUUUCGACUGGACCUGAAAAACAAACCGUGACCGUGGCUUUAUUUUUUACCCACCUAGCAUUUAAGGCAGACCCUUUACGCCUCCCUCCAAGUCUCACCUUGGCCGUGGGGCUCUGAUGUGGUUACAGGGGCUCAGAGCCGGGAGGGCUCAGGGGAUAGGGUGAGACUCAGAAGAGUGUCUGGAAAGAGGGGGUGCUCAGAAAGGGCGGGUGUGAUGAGUUGGACUUUCGUCACCCCCACACGCUAGGGUGACACCCUUACCCCCGAUACCUGUGUGAUGGCCUUAAUGGGAGAGGGUCUUCGCAGGUGUGGUCAAGUUCAGGUGAGGUCACUAGGGUGGGCCUAAUCCAGGAUGACCAGGUCCUUAGGAAGAGAAGAAAAUGCCACCUGGAGAGUUCCCACUGUGGCGCAGUGAUAACAAACAAGACUAGUAUCCUGAGGACAUGGGUUCAAUCCCAGGCUCAGCUAAGUGGGUUAAGGAUCCAGUGUUGACAUGAGCUGUGAUGUAGGCCAGCAGCUGCAGCUGCAGUUCAGCCCCUAGCCAGGGAACCUCCAUAUGCUGCAGGUGCGGCUCAAAAAAAAAAGAAAAAAAGAAAAA
RNAcentral lists this long non-coding RNA (7571 nucleotides) under Sus scrofa (pig). Its description in RNAcentral is "lncRNA (ENSSSCG00050010532.1)". The record is from RNAcentral. Lineage: Eukaryota; Metazoa; Chordata; Mammalia; Artiodactyla; Suidae.